GUGGAUUAGAUACCCUGGUAGUCCACGCCGUAAACGAUGAGAACUUGACGUCGGUUUGCUCAGCAAGUCGGUGUCGCAGCUAACGCGAUAAGUUCUCCGCCUGGGGAGUACGGCCGCAAGGUUGAAACUCAAAGGAAUUGACGGGGGCCCGCACAAGCGGUGGAGUAUGUGGUUUAAUUCGAUGCAACGCGAAGAACCUUACCUGGGCUUGACAUGCUAGGAAUCCUGCAGAGAUGUGGGAGUGCCCGCAAGGGAACCUAGACACAGGUGCUGCAUGGUUGUCGUCAGCU
This 290-nucleotide ribosomal RNA is filed under the name uncultured bacterium. RNAcentral describes it as "partial 16S ribosomal RNA". It matches the Rfam family "Bacterial small subunit ribosomal RNA", at positions 773 to 1060 of the family's 1533-position model. The record is from RNAcentral.